This 475-nucleotide ribosomal RNA is filed under the name uncultured bacterium. Its description in RNAcentral is "SSU rRNA". It matches the Rfam family "Bacterial small subunit ribosomal RNA", at positions 26 to 518 of the family's 1533-position model. The record is from RNAcentral.
AGGACGAACGCUGGCGGCGUGCUUAACACAUGCAAGUCGAGCGGAAAGGGCCCUUCGGGGUACUCGAGCGGCGAACGGGUGAGUAACACGUGAGUAAUCUGCCCCUAGCUCUGGGAUAGCUCCGGGAAACCGGGAUUAAUACUGGAUACGACCACCUUAGACAUCUUUUGUGGUGGAAAGAAUUUCGGCUAGGGAUGAGCUCGCGGCCUAUCAGCUUGUUGGUGGGGUAACGGCCUACCAAGGCGACGACGGGUAGCCGGCCUGAGAGGGCGACCGGCCACACUGGGACUGAGACACGGCCCAGACUCCUACGGGAGGCAGCAGUGGGGAAUAUUGCGCAAUGGGCGAAAGCCUGACGCAGCGACGCCGCGUGGGGGAUGAAGGCCUUCGGGUUGUAAACCCCUUUCAGCAGGGACGAAGCGAAAGUGACGGUACCUGCAGAAGAAGCGCCGGCUAACUACGUGCCAGCAGCCGC